This 359-nucleotide ribosomal RNA is filed under the name uncultured eukaryote. RNAcentral's name for it is "SSU rRNA". It matches the Rfam family "Eukaryotic small subunit ribosomal RNA", at positions 587 to 949 of the family's 1831-position model. The record is from RNAcentral.
AGCUCCAAUAGCGUAUAUUAAAGUUGUUGCGGUUAAAACGCUCGUAGUUGGAGAUCUGUCGAAAACUGCUGGUCCGCCCUCGUGGUGUGUACAUGGUAAGUUUUUAACAUCAUCUUGGGAAACUUGUAUGCACUUCAUUGUGUGACUUGAGAUCUAGGACUUUUACUUUGAGGAAAUGAGAGUGUUUCAAGCAGGCGGAAGCCCUGAAUACGUUAGCAUGGAAUAAUAGCAUCGGACUUCAUUCUAAAGCUGUUGGUUCAUUAGAGUGAGGUAAUGGUAAACAGGGAUAGUUGGGGGGCAUUCGUAUUUAACUGUCAGAGGUGAAAUUCUUGGAUUUGUUGAAGACGAACUACUGCGAA